Molecule: long non-coding RNA, 297 nt
Filed under: Physcomitrium patens
Lineage: Eukaryota; Viridiplantae; Streptophyta; Bryopsida; Funariales; Funariaceae
Description: long non-coding RNA (PPAT_LNC008509)
Source: RNAcentral
UUGAUUAGGAUUUGGUCUAAUAUUUGGUUAAGAUUUAGAGCUCGUUUAGGAUUUGAUGAGGAUUUAGAAUUUGAGUAGGAUUUGAUUUGAAUUUGUCUAAGAUUUGUCUUAAAUUUUCUAGGAGUUUGGUUUAAGAUUUGAUUAGAUUUUAGGAAUUUUUUAAGGUUUGAUUAAGGUUUGAAUAGAAUUUUAUUAGGCUUUUAUUAGGAUUUGGUUUAAGAUUUGAUUAAGAUUUGAUUAGGAUUUAUCUAAAAUUUUGUUCAGAUUGCUUUAAAGAUUUGUAUAGGAUUUUAUUAA